GGAAGAAAAAUUAAAAACAGGGGGUUAAAGUACAAAUAAAGAAAGUUUGGCCACAUAGGACUGGUCGAUUAUCAGUCUCGAGGAAUCGGAGUGUGUUGCGUGGCCAGGCGCGUUGACAUCGACGUCAUGCGGGAGGUCACACUGGCGAUUCGCGUGCCUUUCAAUCGAAUGACCAAGGAUCGAUCCCGCGCCCGUGGAUGGUCUAGAUCCAUUUUCCCCUUAAGUGCGAUCGAACGAUCAAGAUCAAAUGCCAUGAACAGUUUAGAUUCGUUUCUUCUUUAGGAACGAUCGAACGGUCGAGAUCAAACAUGAUGAAUAAUGCAGAUUCGUUUCCUC
RNAcentral lists this long non-coding RNA (336 nucleotides) under Carica papaya (papaya). Its description in RNAcentral is "long non-coding RNA (CPAP_LNC003588)". Lineage: Eukaryota; Viridiplantae; Streptophyta; Magnoliopsida; Brassicales; Caricaceae. The record is from RNAcentral.